GACGAACCGUGCGAACGUUGUUCGGAAUCACUGGGCAUAAAGGGCGCGUAGGCGGCUUAUCAAGUCAGGGGUGAAAUCCGGCAGCUUAACUGUCGAAGUGCCCUUGAUACUGACGAGCUCGAGGGAGAUAGGGGUGUGUAGAACUUCCGGUGGAGCGGUGAAAUGCGUUGAUAUCGGAAGGAACGCCGGUGGCGAAAGCGACACACUGGAUCUCUUCUGACGCUGAGGCGCGAAAGCCAGGGGAGCAAACGGG
RNAcentral lists this ribosomal RNA (253 nucleotides) under uncultured bacterium. Its description in RNAcentral is "partial 16S ribosomal RNA". It matches the Rfam family "Bacterial small subunit ribosomal RNA", at positions 524 to 776 of the family's 1533-position model. The record is from RNAcentral.